GUGAACCAGUACCGUGAGGGAAAGGCGAAAAGAACCCCGGCGAGGGGAGUGAAAAAGAACCUGAAACCGUGUACGUACAAGCAGUGGGAGCACAGGUUUACCUGUGUGACUGCGUACCUUUUGUAUAAUGGGUCAGCGACUUAUAUUCUGUAGCAAGGUUAACCGAAUAGGGGAGCCGGAGGGAAACCGAGUCUUAAUUGGGCGUUAAGUUGCAGGGUAUAGACCCGAAACCCGGUGAUCUAGCCAUGGGCAGGUUGAAGGUUGGGUAACACUAACUGGAGGACCGAACCGACUAAUGUUGAAAAAUUAGCGGAUGACCUGUGGCUGGGGGUGAAAGGCCAAUCAAACCGGGAGAUAGCUGGUUCUCCCCGAAAGCUAUUUAGGUAGCGCCUCGUGAAUUCAUCUCCGGGGGUAGAGCACUGUUUCGGCUAGGGGGCCAUCCCGGCUUACCAACCCGAUGCAAACUGCGAAUACCGGAGAAUGUUAUCACGGGAGACACACGGCGGGUGCUAACGUCCGUCGUGAAGAGGGAAACAACCCAGACCGCCAGCUAAGGUCCCAAAGUCAUGGUUAAGUGGGAAACGAUGUGGGAAGGCCCAGACAGCCAGGAUGUUGGCUUAGAAGCAGCCAUCAUUUAAAGAAAGCGUAAUAGCUCACUGGUCGAGUCGGCCUGCGCGGAAGAUGUAACGGGGCUAAACCAUGCACCGAAGCUGCGGCAGCGACACUCAGGUGUUGUUGGGUAGGGGAGCGUUCUGUAAGCCUGUGAAGGUGGCCUGUGAGGGUUGCUGGAGGUAUCAGAAGUGCGAAUGCUGACAUAAGUAACGAUAAAGCGGGUGAAAAGCCCGCUCGCCGGAAGACCAAGGGUUCCUGUCCAACGUUAAUCGGGGCAGGGUGAGUCGACCCCUAAGGCGAGGCCGAAAGGCGUAGUCGAUGGGAAACGGGUUAAUAUUCCCGUACUUGGUGUUACUGCGAAGGGGGGACGGAGAAGGCUAUGUUGGCCGGGCGACGGUUGUCCCGGUUUAAGCGUGUAGGUGUGUGUUCCAGGUAAAUCCGGUUCACUUUAACACUGAGGCGUGAUGACGAGGCACUACGGUGCUGAAGCAACAAAUGCCCUGCUUCCAGGAAAAGCCUCUAAGCAUCAGGUAACAUCAAAUCGUACCCCAAACCGA
RNAcentral lists this ribosomal RNA (1169 nucleotides) under Salmonella enterica subsp. enterica serovar Agona. RNAcentral's name for it is "partial 23S ribosomal RNA". It matches the Rfam family "Bacterial large subunit ribosomal RNA", at positions 490 to 1657 of the family's 2925-position model. Lineage: Bacteria; Pseudomonadati; Pseudomonadota; Gammaproteobacteria; Enterobacterales; Enterobacteriaceae. The record is from RNAcentral.